UAGAACCAGGUAGGACCCACAAUAUUAGGUACAACUAGCUAGUACCGGGUAGGACCAAUUUUAUUAGGUACACCUAGCUAGAACCAGGUAGGACCCACAAUAUUAGGUACAACUAGCUAGUACCGGGUAGGACCAAUUUUAUUAGGUACACCUAGCUAGAACCAGGUAGGACCCACAAUAUUAGGUACAACUAGCUAGUACCGGGUAGGACCAAUUUUAUUAGGUACACCUAGCUAGAACCAGGUAGGACCCACAAUAUUAGGUACAACUAGCUAGUACCAGGUAGGACCCAUUUUAUUAGGUACACCUAGCUAGAACCAGGUAGGACCCACAAUAUUAGGUACAACUAGCUAGUACCGGGUAGGACCAAUUUUA
Molecule: long non-coding RNA, 375 nt
Organism: Brienomyrus brachyistius
Lineage: Eukaryota; Metazoa; Chordata; Actinopteri; Osteoglossiformes; Mormyridae
Exons: 3
Source: RefSeq, a predicted model, not a curated record